GAUGUCGGCUCAUCGCAUCCUGGGGCUGUAGUCGGUCCCAAGGGUUGGGCUGUUCGCCCAUUAAAGCGGUACGCGAGCUGGGUUCAGAACGUCGUGAGACAGUUCGGUCCCUAUCCGUCGUGGGCGCAGGAAAUUUGAGAGGAGCUGUCCUUAGUACGAGAGGACCGGGAUGGACGCACCGCUGGUGUACCAGUUGUCUUGCCAAAGGCAUCGCUGGGUAGCUAUGUGCGGAAGGGAUAAGUGCUGAAAGCAUCUAAGCAUGAAGCCCCCCUCGAGAUGAGAUUUCCCAUCACGUAUGUGAGUAAGAUCCCUAGAAGAUGACUAGGUAGAUAGGUCAGAGAUGGAAGCAUGGCGACAUGUGGAGUUGACUGAUACUAAUCGAUCGAGGACUUAACCACAA
Molecule: ribosomal RNA, 400 nt
Filed under: Bacillus sp. CH30_1T
Lineage: Bacteria; Bacillati; Bacillota; Bacilli; Caryophanales; Bacillaceae
Description: partial 23S ribosomal RNA
Rfam family: Bacterial large subunit ribosomal RNA
Source: RNAcentral